UACGUAGGUGACCAGCGUUGUCCGGAUUUACUGGGCGUAAAGAGCGCGCAGGCGGUCGUUCAAGUCGAGUGUGAAAGCCCCCGGCUCAACUGGGGAGGGUCACUCGAUACUGAUCGACUUGAAGGCAGGAGAGGGAAGCGGAAUUCCCGGUGUAGUGGUGAAAUGCGUAGAUAUCGGGAGGAACACCAGUGGCGAAGGCGGCUUCCUGGCCUGUUCUUGACGCUGAGGCGCGAAAGCCAGGGGAGCAAACGGG
RNAcentral lists this ribosomal RNA (253 nucleotides) under uncultured bacterium. RNAcentral describes it as "partial 16S ribosomal RNA". It matches the Rfam family "Bacterial small subunit ribosomal RNA", at positions 524 to 776 of the family's 1533-position model. The record is from RNAcentral.